This is a long non-coding RNA of Mustela lutreola (European mink), 2306 nucleotides long. RefSeq lists it as uncharacterized. The record is from RefSeq and is a predicted model, not a curated record. Lineage: Eukaryota; Metazoa; Chordata; Mammalia; Carnivora; Mustelidae. The transcript is spliced from 2 exons.
GCCAGCCACAGCCUAAUGUCUGACUCGUGUUAAGGAACUAAGUAAACACUUGCCAAGAUUUCUUCUUCCAUCAAGUUUCAGAGAAACCUUUCAUCGGCUCCUGAUAGCUAUUUCUGCUCUUCGUUAGCUGGUUAGCAAGAAAGCAAAUAAGAAGAAACCUUUCUGAGACUCAAUUAUAAGAUUUCUAACGUUUCUAAGAAGGGAUAGACGACACACGCAAGGGAUUGCUGGCUAGUCUCGGCGGGCACUGGGGUGGGGAAGAGCCUUCUGUAUUUAGCACCUUGUGUCAUUUGAUGCUUGGGCAAAGAGAGACCUCUCAGGGUAGCAUUCAAGAUUCUCCAUUUCUUAAGCAGGCUGCCCGGGGUGGAGCUUACCUCUUCUGAGCUGGUAUUGGCUGAUGCCUGGAGCUUACUGUCUGUCUAUGCUUAGCAGUACCGUGUUGAGUCACCUCCCCUGAGCUCUGCCUACUUAAAUUGCUAACCAUUCUACCGAGGAUCUUGAAUUUGAAUCAAGUAAGGCAGGCUGUGAGGGUCCCAGACAUGUGGGGGAGGGGAAGCUUGGGCUACACUGAAAAGAAAUCAGGUCCAUACCUUUUAACCAAAAAAGGUUGUAAAAAUAUGUUGGCCUAUUGAAUUAUUUAUAUCUUUCGAGAUGUGAGAAGAUGCCCGGGAACCAGGAGAGCAGCAGGGGUGGUUAGCCGGCACUCUGUGCCUCAUUUGCACUCGCAAGUCAUUUCUGUGCUAGUUGCUCUCGUCCAGGGAAUGGCGUCAUCCUCCCCAAGAGGGGAUGGUUUUUAAAGUGGGAUUUCUGAACCAGUUAUAUGGAGGAGGGGUGGGAAGAGACAGCGGGGAUUUGAUUUACCCAGCUUCCUAGCUUUUCACUGAGGAUCGUGCUUUAAGAUCAAAGACCCGGGGAGGAGAAGGCUGGGAAGCUGUAGGAUGUAUAGAACAGCUAAGAUACAUUAGCUCAUAUUCGGGUUUUGAGCCUGUGACUAUCCAACACUGGCUUCCAGCCUUCUGAGUUAUCUGAGCAGAGAGUUAAGGAGGAAAGGGAAAUUUUGUAGAGUAAACUGUUUUGCCACACUGAAUGGGUCUUUUUAGCAUGAUUCUUAUAAAGAGUCAUUUUCUACGUUCUGAAACAACUGAUGAGACACCUGGUUUUUCUCUUGAAUUUGUACAUUGUUUCUUAAUAAAAGUGAUAAAUUUCUUGCAGGUGUUUCCCAUCACCGUUACCUUUCAAGUGCUUGUGUGCUGUUUCAGUAGCUUUCAAUUUUUGCCUCGUGUCGUGGUGGUGGUGGUACAUUUUAUUGCAAACGGUUGUAAGCAGCCUGUCUUCCUGAUGCCAGGCAGCUGGAUCAAUCAUAAACCACCUCUCGGGCUAUAGGUCUGCUUCUACUCCAGAAAUUUAAGGAAGAUCAGUCUACUUUUGGACGUUUAAAAGGCUCCUGGCAGUAAGUGGCCGUAACCACUCUCUCAAAUCCUCUUUGCUUUACAGGGACACAUUGAUUUUUGUAAUGCUGCAAUGGCCAGUUCUCUUUAUCUCUGAUCUGUUGCUUUUAAAUAAAUCUUAACCUGAAAGCAUCUUUCCAAGAAGUUGGCCACACCUAAUCUAUUAUUAAUGUUACUCAGUAAGCCCUCCACCCGGAACACUGAAAGAAAAAACAAAAGGGAGGUUUUGCAUUAAAUAGAGCAUGAUUAAAAUUGGUCUUCUUAAAAAUCCCAGCACAGCCUUAUCAGAAGGAUGGGCCCUGAUGUUCCCAACUGGCCCUAAGCCUCAGAGGCAAUGCUGGACUGGCUCUGGCUACCUCUGAAGCCCCUGCAUGCUGAAGUCAUACAGGCAUAGAGGAGAGGGGAUUCUCAGAUGGGAUGGACUGCAAGCCUACAAAAAGGAAAGAACCCUCUGGGAGACUAAAUCAUGGCUUAGUUCAACACCUUCGCAAAUUGUGUAUCUCACCCGUGGAGCGGUCUUCUACAGGCGAGCCUGUGAUCCCAGGGCCAGGAGCGAAGUGUAAUUGCAGAGAACACAGCAGUGUCUCCAUCUGAGAUUUCCCUCAUUCACAAGGGCUCAAGCACACAGGUGGAUGUCAGAAAAGAUCCAAUUUCCCCGUCUCUGUCUUCUGUGCAGCAUUCAGGCAACCAACAAAAAAGCACAGAUCGAUGAACUGAGUGUGUAUUAAUGUCAAAACCUCCUAAAAGAAAAAGAAAGCCCAUCUGGCCAGGCAAGUAUUUGUUAAUAGUCACAGCUUUUCAGUGAUGUUUUUUUAUCUGUAAAUUAACUUAAUAAAAUCAUCCCAUCAUUAAAAUUAA